CCUACGGGGGGCUGCAGUGGGGAAUAUUGGACAAUGGGGGGAACCCUGAUCCAGCCAUGCCGCGUGUGUGAAGAAGGCCCUCGGGUUGUAAAGCACUUUCAGUGAGGAAGAACGCCUGGUGGUUAAUACCCAUCAGGAAAGACAUCACUCACAGAAGAAGCACCGGCUAACUCCGUGCCAGCAGCCGCGGUAAUACGGAGGGUGCGUGCGUUAAUCGGAAUUACUGGGCGUAAAGCGCGCGUAGGUGGCUUGAUAAGCCGGUUGUGAAAGCCCCGGGCUCAACCUGGGAACGGCAUCCGGAACUGUCAAGCUAGAGUGCAGGAGAGGAAGGUAGAAUUCCCGGUGUAGCGGUGAAAUGCGUAGAGAUCGGGAGGAAUACCAGUGGCGAAGGCGGCCUUCUGGACUGACACUGACACUGAGGUGCGAAAGCGUGGGUAGCAAACAGGAUUAGAUACCCUAGUAGUC
This 465-nucleotide ribosomal RNA is filed under the name Vreelandella stevensii. Its description in RNAcentral is "partial 16S ribosomal RNA". It matches the Rfam family "Bacterial small subunit ribosomal RNA", at positions 338 to 795 of the family's 1533-position model. The record is from RNAcentral. Lineage: Bacteria; Pseudomonadati; Pseudomonadota; Gammaproteobacteria; Oceanospirillales; Halomonadaceae.